Molecule: ribosomal RNA, 72 nt
Filed under: Silene vulgaris (bladder campion)
Lineage: Eukaryota; Viridiplantae; Streptophyta; Magnoliopsida; Caryophyllales; Caryophyllaceae
Description: partial 18S ribosomal RNA
Rfam family: Eukaryotic small subunit ribosomal RNA
Source: RNAcentral
UAACCUUAUUCCAUAGAGGAAGGAGAAGUCGUAACAAGGUUUCCGUAGGUGAACCUGCGGAAGGAUCAUUGC